Molecule: ribosomal RNA, 301 nt
Filed under: uncultured bacterium
Lineage: Bacteria
Description: partial 16S ribosomal RNA
Rfam family: Bacterial small subunit ribosomal RNA
Source: RNAcentral
CAGCCGCCGCGGUAAUACAGAGGGUGCGAGCGUUAAUCGGAUUUAUUGGGCGUAAAGCGUGCGUAGGCGGCUUCUUAAGUCGGAUGUGAAAUCCCUGAGCUUAACUUAGGAAUUGCAUUCGAUACUGGGAAGCUAGAGUAUGGGAGAGGAUGGUAGAAUUCCAGGUGUAGCGGUGAAAUGCGUAGAGAUCUGGAGGAAUACCGAUGGCGAAGGCAGCCAUCUGGCCUAAUACUGACGCUGAGGUACGAAAGCAUGGGGAGCAAACAGGAUUAGAUACCCCCGUAGUCCCUGUCUCUUAUAC